This 253-nucleotide ribosomal RNA is filed under the name uncultured bacterium. Its description in RNAcentral is "partial 16S ribosomal RNA". It matches the Rfam family "Bacterial small subunit ribosomal RNA", at positions 524 to 776 of the family's 1533-position model. The record is from RNAcentral.
GACAGAGGGUGCAAACGUUGUUCGGAAUUACUGGGCGUAAAGCGCGUGUAGGCGGCUAAGUGUGUCGGGCGUGAAAUCCCACGGCUCAACCGUGGAAGUGCACCCGAAACUACGUAGCUAGAGUCCUGGAGAGGAAGGUGGAAUGCUUGGUGUAGAGGUGAAAUUCGUAGAUAUCAAGCGGAACACCGGUGGCGAAGGCGGCCAACUGGGAUACACCUGACGCUGAGGCACGAAGGCGUGGGGAGCGAACGGG